UCAGCUCUGCCACCAGCCCAGGGUCUAAAAGGACAUCAUCCCUAUGAGAAAUCCCAAACAGAAUUUUCAGAUGUCAAGCAAUACAGGUGUAAAUAUACAGAAAUAUGUAUAUAUUUGCAUAGACUUUUCUUCGCCAGUUCUUGUCUAGAUCUGAAUUUCUCAAGAGCUCCCCUGUUCCAGGCUGUAUGGCCCAUUAGCUGUAGCUGUGCUAUCUUCAGUGGAACAGAACACAAAGCUGUCAACAAAGUUUUUACAGCCUCAUCCAGUUGCCAGGAGAGACCACAAACAGGAGCCCUUCAAGGGAGGAGCAGCUACAGAUGCUGGGGUCAGUUUUCAGGAAGGAGGAGCAGCUGCCCAUCAUCAUAGCCUCAAGAUUCCAAGGAAGAAGUCUUUGCUGCACUUACCAAUCCAUGCCAAUGAGCUCCUGAGGACAAGAGGAGCCUGUGCUCUGUGAAGUUCACCUGAGAAGCCAAGCAGUGUCAGAGUGCUGUGUUCAUGACCAGAAACAUAAGCGACUCCCUUUUGUACAAACUGCAAUACUUCUAUUCACCAACCUGGAGAAGAAAGUUAAUUUGUUCCUGUUUCUUCAGAGUUAAGUCUAA
This is a long non-coding RNA of Tyto alba (common barn owl), 602 nucleotides long. RefSeq lists it as uncharacterized. NCBI's taxonomy places the organism in Eukaryota, Metazoa, Chordata, Aves, Strigiformes, Tytonidae. The record is from RefSeq and is a predicted model, not a curated record. The transcript has 3 exons.